RNAcentral lists this long non-coding RNA (1188 nucleotides) under Scleropages formosus (Asian bonytongue). RNAcentral describes it as "lncRNA (ENSSFOG00015026712.1)". Lineage: Eukaryota; Metazoa; Chordata; Actinopteri; Osteoglossiformes; Osteoglossidae. The record is from RNAcentral.
GUAUAUAGCUGUAUGCUGCUUGUCCACCUAUAUGUGACCCAGUUUAUUAUGUGUGUAUGUAUGUGUGUAUAGUGCAUGUACUGUAUAAAUAGUGUGGUAUUAUGGUGAUGUUUUUAUAUAUAAAUGUGUAUACUAUAUACAGCAUAGCUGCAUGGGUGGCAUGGCAUGGUUGGUUCGAUCCCCGCUCAGUCAGUGUGAAGUUUGCAUGUUCUCCCCCUGUCUGCGUGGGUUUCCUCCCACAGUCCAAAGACAUGCUGUUCUUUAGGUUCACCCACAGAGUGUGAGUGAAAGAGACAGUGUGUUCCGCUGAUGUAUGGAUGAGUGACCCAGUGUAAGUAGUGUAAGUCACCUUGACGAAUAAGGUGUGCGGGCUCAUAACACUACAUAGAGUUAAUUGGAAGUCGCGUUGGAAAAAAGCAUCUGCUAAAUAAAUAAGUGUAAAUAUACAGUAUGCAGGUGAAAUUCAGUGAGUGGGGGACAUUUCAGUAGUUAACUUACAUAUGAUCAUAUGAUACAAUAUGUGUAGCUCGUUCUGACACAGAGGAGUGCUGGUACUCUAAUGAGUGUAAACACAUGUGGAAGUGAAGGAUUCAACUUCAAGGAAGCGCUGCAUGAGCGCCGAGGUUCCGCGGUCCACGUGGAGCAUCAGGUGACCAGAUCGCGGUCCGGCCGCUGCUCGGACCCUCCUGGGCUCCACUUCGGUGCCGGGACCUCGCUCGAAGGACUUCGCAGGAACUCCGUGGGAUCUUGGGAGCCUUCCACACACAGUUGUGCUACAAACAUCUGCCACCAGGGGGCGUCUCAACUUACAGGAAUUUUCGCUCCACCACAGCUGAGUAUCUCCAGUAAAAUUUACUCUAAGGCUAAGCCUUUUUAGAUUAGUGAAAUGAGAUUACAUGGAAAGAAUUGCUACAAUCCUUUUCUGAUUAACAGAAAAAUGAAACAGUUUUGCUGCGCUUUCUGCCCCAUGAUACCCCAAAGCAUCUAUAGGUGUACUGAACACAAUUGUACACCUUUGGUUUGUUAUUCCACUUUGAAAGUGUAUAAAAUGGUUUUAUGAAUAGAAUAACUGGAAAAGGAACAAGGAUCAUGCAUCAGGCAGAGGAUGGAUCAAGUAGUGUAAUUAAGAGCCGGGGCUUUGUUUUCCAUGCAGGAUGUAAGGUGGCUGUGUGUUGACCAAGAUAGUAA